RNAcentral lists this long non-coding RNA (4112 nucleotides) under Capra hircus (goat). RNAcentral describes it as "lncRNA (ENSCHIG00010026695.1)". Lineage: Eukaryota; Metazoa; Chordata; Mammalia; Artiodactyla; Bovidae. The record is from RNAcentral.
AUGAAGUCAGCUGCAUGUUUGGAAAUUCCUCUUCUCUACCUGGAAAGUAGCCUGAGAUUGGCUCAAGCUGUCCUGGAGCAGCUUUGCCGUGUAAACAACCACUGGAAACACACCACUUCUGGAAACAUGGCUAUGCGAGAAGUGGGCUGUAGAAAGGCAGAGAAUGGCCGCCAGGCCCCCAGCUCAGGAGCUGGAGAAGAGGACCUGGCUAUGGGAAAAGUGGGCUGUGGAAAGGCAGAGAGCGGCCACCAGGCUCCCAGCUCAGGGGCUGGAGGAGAGGAAACUGGGAAGCAGGGGAGCCACCGGCUCUGGGGUUGGGGCCUGUGUAUGUGGGGAAUGGUGGUAGGGGUUCCCCGGCCUGUUUCAUUAAAUGGGAGGCAGAGACACAGAAUACACCAGCAAGGUGGUUUCUCUUGGCCCCCUGGAGGAGAUUUAUAAAGGUCUUUGCCAGCUAUAAAAAGGAAAGUAAAUGAGUUGAAUAUUGAGUAUUCAAUAAAAUUAAGAAAGUCCAAGAUGGAAAUAUAAAGAGAAAGGGGGGUUUGUAUGGCAUCUCCAACCCCCGAUGCCUCCAGCUCCCUCCUCCCAAAGCCCUCACCUUACAAACUCACCUUCACCUGCAGUUCUCUCCAAUGGGCCUCUCUCUGCCUUCCCUCAUGGAGGAGCUUGCCACGCUCUUACUCUCCUGGCUUUGGAAGCUCCCCCUAAAUUCAUUCAAAGAAACACACCCAAGAUUACAGAAGGGAAUAUUCCAACCAUGGGAAGGGUUUCAAAGCACAGAUACAGCUCAGCCUAGGAUAAUGUACACCUGGGCACACACAGAACUUCUGGGGAAGUUUCUUUUCUCCAACUCUAUCCUAAACCAGGAGACCCAACAGAAAAAUCCUCCGUUUUGGUCCUUAUGUGUUUCUCCAUUCACAUCCCACCUGCCUUCCCCUUUUGUACCCUUCCCUCCUCACCGCUCCUCCUGGCAUUCUUACCACUCUGGAUAGGGAAUGGAGACUCCUUGUGCAAAUGAAGGACAUUAACCCAGAGGAUGUGUGGAGAUUACUUUUUCAAUAUUGCUACUAGAUAUCUUCUGGUAUUGGGCCUCCCUGGUGCCUAAGACGGUAAAGCAUCUGCCUGUAGUGCGGGAGACCCUGGUUUGAUCCCUGGGUUGGGAAGAUCCCCUGGAGAAGNNNNNNNNNNNNNNNNNNNNNNNNNNNNNNNNNNNNNNNNNNNNNNNNNNNNNNNNNNAGGCUACAGUCCAUGGGGUCACAAAGAGUCAGACAUGACUGAGUGACUUCCCCUUUUGUACCCUUCCCUCCUCACUGCCCCUCCUGGCAAUCUCACCACUCUGGAUAGGGAAUGGAGACUUCUUGUGCAAAUGAAGGACACUGACCCAAAGGAUGCGUGGAGAUUACUUUUUCAAUAUUGCUAGUAAAUAUCUUCUGGUAUUAUCUGGGAUUAGGGCCGUACUUGUAGAAAAAGCAUCCCCAGAUAAAUGCUACAUAAACUGAUACCUCUGGAUUCAUAAUUUCCCUACUGCUUGUUACUGAUUCAUUUUUCAGUUAGGUAGUGAGUCCUUUACUAGGUCAAUUUUAAUUUUCUCAGACUUCCUUUCUCUGCAUGUAAUCCGCAGACCAAAGCUCAAGGAGGGGGAAAUCCAAAAUGAUGGAACCAGGGUGAAAUAUUCUGUCAUUUACUACUCUUCCCCUCUGAGGCUCCCCAGCCGUUNNNNNNNNNNNNNNNNNNNNNNNNNNNNNNNNCACACACACACACACACACACACACACACACACACACACACACCCUCUCCUGGGCUCCCCCCCAAAAUCCUCCAGUUGGUGGAAAUGGCAGCAGAACCCUAAUCUGGAGCCCAAGUUGAACCCUUCCACAGAGUCAAAACCACAACCAGGAAGCAUUUGCCCAGCACUCAGAUGUGCAAAACACAGCAGCACAGCAAGUUUUCCGUUUCAGACCUAACUCUGAUUCCUCCAGUGCAAACUGCCUCCUCACUUGCCUUUAAGGGUGUCAUUUCUGCAGUGAACUUUCUUGAAAAAUCACCCUUCUGUGAGUCUCCUUUUAGUAGAUCUCUCCCUGUCUUUCCCUUCUACUUGGCAACAGAAGGCAUUUCUGUCCCCCUUAGAGCACCCUGGCAUGACCCAGGGCUCCUGGGGGAAUUCUUCAAAGAAACAGGUUCUUGCUUGACCCCAACCUACUAACACAAAGAGUCCAUCACAGGAAGGCCCAGGUCUUGGCUGAGUGAGCCCAGCAUCGCCACCCACCAAGCACAGCUGCUCUGCUAAUUUUAGAACUCUGAGAAGCCACCUGACUUCAAGGCACUCAUGAGAUACUCAUCACACCCUAUAUCUGGAGCUGAUCUGGGGUGGGGCCCGCUCCUUGUUCUUCACACCCAGAACACCUUUGAGAGCUAGAAAAGUGACUUUGAGGGAGGCGACUCUGAAUAAAUGACAAAAAGAUAAAGCGACCCUCGAUCCGCUAGCAAACUGCAAAUUGUUUCAACCUGGUCGAGCUCCCAGCAUUGGACUGGUCUGUCCAGUGACCUGACCUCCACCUGACAUUCAGAUCCCACCUCCCAUUUCAUGUGUCUGAAGUGGGACUCACCAGCUUCCCCCAGACCCUUGCCUCCUGUCUGCUUGUCUGGGGCAUAUCCUGUUUCCCAAGUGAGGAUCCUCAGGUCAACACUGACUGCCUCCCCCUCCUCUCCAGUCACUAAAUAUAAAGUUCAAGCUACUUUAUCUCCUAACAGGGGUUCAUAAGCUUCUCCCCAUUCCCACAGUCUUUGCUCUCCAUCCUGUUCUCUUCAGGGAUUCCCAAGCGGCACAGUGGUAAAGAAUCCGUCUGCCAGUGCAGGAGACACAAGAGAUUUGGGUUCAAUCCCUGGGUCGGGAAGAUCCCCUGGAGGAGGAAAUGGCANNNNNNNNNNNNNNNNNNNNNNNNNNNNNNNNNNNNNNNNNNNNNNNNNNNNNNNNNNNNNNNNNNNNNNNNNNNNNNNNNNNNNNNNNNNNNNNNNNNCCCUGGGUCGGGAAGAUCCCCUGGAGGAGGAAAUGGCAACCCACUCCAGGGCUCUUGCCUGGAGAAUCCCAAGGACAGAGGAACCCGGCGGGCUACAGUCCAUGGGCUUGCAAAGAGUUGGCCAUGACUGAGCUCACACGCCUGUGCACAGGUUCUCUUCAGCCCUCACCUGCUCACUGUAACAGUUGCCGGCAGGCUCCCUGCCUACUUUUUCAUACUCUUAAGCCCAACUACCAAGGCCAUUUUUCUAAAACCACAUCUAUUUCUAGCUUAAACCCUUAAAGUUUUCCUGGCAGGCUCUCCACACUAUUUGCAUGUUAGAAUCACCUGGGCAGGGUAAAAAAAAAAAGUCAAUGCCCAGCUUCCCACCCCCAGAGAUUCUGAUUUGAUUGACAGGAUGGGACAAAGCAUCCAUAUUUCUUUUUGAGAUUCCCUAGAAAACUGAUGUGCAGCCAGGGUGGAGAGCCACUGACCACCAGGAUGGAGUCCAAGCUCCUUCCCACAGCACCCAAGACUUUUCUUGACUGGGCCCCUGCCCACCUCUCCCAUCAGCCUCUCUCCUGGCAUCUCCAUACCUUUAUGUCCCAGAAACACUGAGCCGCUUACAGUUCCCGCCACCACACCAUUGCUCAUCUGUUCCCGAACCUGAAACACCCUCCUUAUUGGCCCAGCAUCACCUUCUACAGGAACCCAUGCCUGAUGCAUCACCUCAGCACCUUCCCUCACUCCCCGGUGCUCCAUAAAACCUUGGGUGUGCCUCUGUUACUGAACAUCCACAUUAUUCUGUGGUGAUUUAUGUACCCAUCUUCCUCAAGCAAAAGAGAGAGAUUAUUUCCAUAGGGUUACUUCAUGGAGCCCUAAGCUGCUCAUACUAUAGAUGGGCCUCUCAAUCAUGGGGACCCUGAAUUUGGAAAGCUGCUUGGAAUCAAGGCACUUCUUCUCAGUCACCUUCUCACUGGGGUUAUAUGGGCUCUGCUGUCUCUUUAUUGCUUCUGGAUCUUCUUGGCAGACAACAUUCUCUACCUGUAUGUGCCAGAUGGGCCCCAAAUGGCCACUCCAUAAAGGCAGGCUCAGCUCCUCAAUGUACAUGUUUUCAC